This 2259-nucleotide ribosomal RNA is filed under the name Triticum aestivum (bread wheat). RNAcentral describes it as "partial small subunit ribosomal RNA". Lineage: Eukaryota; Viridiplantae; Streptophyta; Magnoliopsida; Poales; Poaceae. The record is from RNAcentral.
CCCAAAAGUCGGGAUGAAUCCUCGCGAGUCUCCCGGUUCCUAUAUUUUCCCUUUGCAAAUACUAGCCACACGGCCGCUUUGAAAGGCGGCCAGGCGCGAGCGAGACAAAGGAAGUGCGAGCGGGUGCGCAGAGCCAGGGUGCAGGUGGCGAGCAAGAAUAGGCGUCCGUUGUUGUGACGAACAGGUGUGUUAGAGGUAGAGGUAUCGAAAAAGAAAUAGAGGGAAGAGAAAAGGGGAGGUCUCGAGCAGACGGAUGGGAGUAGAGAGUGGGCGCGGUGGUGUAGACAUCGAGGCCGCUCGGAGCGGUGGUAGCCUGAGGGGAUUUGAUGAAAAAAGAGGGAGGGGAAGGAUGAGGGGUUGUGGGGAGAGUAGUUACCUCGAUGAUGGUCGGUAGUGGCCCACAAUGGUGCCACUGAUCUAUGUUGCGUGAAUGCCGCCUCAACGUUCGGACGUUGGCCGCGGGGCAAAAUGACCCUCGCACGACGUUGGUCGCGAGCGGCGGUACCGGCGGGCGUCGACCAACGCGAGGAGAGGUACUGGCGGCGUUGUUCUAAAAACGAGGUUGGUACAAAAAAAAACGACCUUGGUUGGGUACAAAAACGAUGGUGGGUGAGUGGAGUUUAGACGAUGGUACCACUAAAAAACGACCUUGGUCACUUGGUAAAACGAUGUUGGCAAAACCCAAAACAAUGAUGACCACAAAACACUUAAAAACGAUGUAGGUAGAGGUACUGUAGCGGACAAAAAAGAUCAGCUAAAACGAUGUUGGUACGAAACUAAAACGACCUUUGCUUCUGUUAAAAACGAUGUUAGUAUAAAACUAAAACGACCUUGGCGUCUAUUAAAAACGAUGUAGGUGGUUGUCGCCACAACCAGCUGCCGCCGCUACCGAAAGAAAAAACGACGUUGGCAGAAUCUAAAAACGAUGAUGUCCUCAACGGUAAAACGAUGAUGGUCUCAGAACGAGUUUCGUAGUCCUCAAAACGAUGGUGGGGAAACAAAAACAAAACUAAAACGACCUUGGUCGGAUUUUUAACGAAGUUGGCAGAAAGCUAAAGCGACCUUGGCCGUAAAAAACGAAACGGCCACCACCACUUCCGCCCACUACAAAACGAAGCCGUCGUCGCCGAUCCGGCGCUCGCGGCCGCCGUUCAUCUUCGUCGCUCCCAGGUUUCGUCCCGUCGCCCCCGAUCGCACGCCCUAGGGCGCUCGCCGCCGCCGCGAGCGAAAAAAGAGGGGGAAAAAGGGACACGCCUCCUACUGCUUCCCCCUACGCCCUGUCUAGUCUGCCAGGGCGUGCAGGUCUAGCUCGCCGAGCCCAACCUGGCCGGCUUUGAGCGCGACCACGCGGCCGCGUCUCAUGACCGGCUAUAUUUUCCCUAAAGAAAACCCUCGUGACCGGGGUGCCAAUGAGUGGACGACAAACGCCUACUAUGAGUGAGUUUUGAUAGAACGUCCUGACUCCUUUGUGAGAGACCGAGGUCCCCUCGCCACCGUUCUCUGGCAUUUACCUUAAAAUAAAGCCGUUGUUGAACCCAAGACGGGGUACAAGCGUCACGUCUUAGUCGUCUCAACUCACGAUAAGCCUUACCGGACAUGGAUCGUCCCUCUUAACCUGCGUCCUUCUAAACCCCGGAGAAGAGACGGUAAGUCUACCCGGUACCGAAAGUUAGAUACUCGCCAACCACCUAAUCAGGUUUAUUAUAAUACAAGUAUUAUACGAUAGGUUGAGUCAAAACACCCGGGAUACCUUUAAGGCGUUGAGAGAAACAAAGUUCACUUUUAUGUACGCUUCGUAACUACCAUAUACACUGUUCCACUAACCUUACCGGACGUUUACCUUCCACGAGACGGUCGGCCGCGUUGAAAGUAACUACUUGGUCAAGUAGGCUCUCUACCUAGGGUUUUCUAGGCUCGAAGAAACAUAACGAACCCGGUCAAUAUCAUUUAAAUGAGAAGAAAAUGAAGGUUUCAUUAAGUGCAGUAUCCAGAAGUAUAUUACACCGAAGGUACUCUGAAACCUUACGUGUAUACGUUGAAGCUAUUCACGGGCCAUAUUAUCACGUUACAUGUAUUUGUUGUAGUACUAAUACAAUAUGUUAAGAAAGUGCAUCCUCUCCCAAAACUGCCACUUCGCCGGAGAACUAUUUUACUAGUUGAUGUAACGUAAGGUUGAAGAUACUAAAGGUGAAUCAUGUUUUUCUAGAAGAGGGAAAAGAAAAGUGCUACCCCACAUGUAUAAUGAUCGUAAGUUUGGUG